Molecule: ribosomal RNA, 589 nt
Filed under: uncultured bacterium
Lineage: Bacteria
Description: bacterial SSU rRNA
Rfam family: Bacterial small subunit ribosomal RNA
Source: RNAcentral
GCCCUUCCUACGGCAGUCAGCAGUGAGGGAUAUUGGUCAAUGGACGAGAGUCUGAACCAGCCAAGUAGCGUGAAGGAUGACUGCCCUAUGGGUUGUAACUUCUUUUAUAAGGGAAUAAAGUGAGGGACGUGUCCCUUUUUGUAUGUACCUUAUGAAUAAGGAUCGGCUAACUCCGUGCCAGCAGCCGCGGUAAUACGGAGGAUCCAAGCGUUAUCCGGAUUUAUUGGGUUUAAAGGGAGCGUAGGUUGACAUAUAAGUCAGCUGUGAAAGUUUACGGCUCAACAGUGAAAUUGCAGUUGAUACUGUAUGUCUUGAGUGUACAAGAGGUGGGCGGAAUUCGUGGUGUAGCGGUGAAAUGCUUAGAUAUCACGAAGAACUCCAAUUGCGAAGGCAGCUCACUGGGGUACAACAGACACUGAGGCUCGAAAGUGUGGGUAUCAAACAGGAUUAGAUACCCUGGUAGUCCACACAGUAAACGAUGAAUACUCGCUGUUUGCGAUAUACAGUAAGCGGCCAAGCGAAAGCAUUAAGUAUUCCACCUGGGGAGUACGCCGGCAACGGUGAAACUCAAAGGAAUUGACGGAAGGGC